This 429-nucleotide ribosomal RNA is filed under the name Acidobacteriota bacterium. Its description in RNAcentral is "Acidobacteria bacterium partial 16S ribosomal RNA". It matches the Rfam family "Bacterial small subunit ribosomal RNA", at positions 355 to 776 of the family's 1533-position model. The record is from RNAcentral. Lineage: Bacteria; Pseudomonadati; Acidobacteriota.
UGGGGAAUUUUGGACAAUGGGGGAAACCCUGAUCAAGCCAUCCCGCGUGUGCGAUGAAGGCCUUCGGGUUGUAAAGCACUUUUGGCAGGAAAGAAACGUCAUGGGUUAAUACCCCGUGAAACUGACGGUACCUGCAGAAUAAGCACCGGCUAACUACGUGCCAGCAGCUGCGGUAAUACGUAGGGUGCAAGCGUUAAUCGGAAUUACUGGGCGUAAAGCGUGCGCAGGCGGUUCGGAAAGAAAGAUGUGAAAUCCCAGAGCUCAACUUUGGAACUGCAAUAUUAACUACAGGGCUAGAGUGUGACAGAGGGAGGUGGAAUUCCGCGGGUAGCAGUGAAAGACGUAGAUAUGCGGAGGAACACCGAUGGCGAAGGCAGCCUCCUGGGAUAAAACUGACGCUCAUGCACGAAAGCGUGGGGAGCAAACAGG